AAAGCCCAUCGCUCAACGGUGGAACGGCCUUUGAUACUGUUAGACUUGAAUUAUCAAGAAGUAACUAAAAUAUGUCGUGUAGCGGUGAAAUGCUUAGAUAUUACAUGGAACACCAAUUGCGAAGGCAGGUUACUACUAAUGGAUUGACGCUGAUGGACGAAAGCGUGGGUAGCGAACAGGAUUAGAUACCCUGGUAGUCCACGCCGUAAACGA
This 213-nucleotide ribosomal RNA is filed under the name Flavobacterium sp. RNAcentral describes it as "partial 16S ribosomal RNA". It matches the Rfam family "Bacterial small subunit ribosomal RNA", at positions 597 to 809 of the family's 1533-position model. The record is from RNAcentral. Lineage: Bacteria; Pseudomonadati; Bacteroidota; Flavobacteriia; Flavobacteriales; Flavobacteriaceae.